Molecule: ribosomal RNA, 462 nt
Filed under: uncultured bacterium
Lineage: Bacteria
Description: partial 16S ribosomal RNA
Rfam family: Bacterial small subunit ribosomal RNA
Source: RNAcentral
CCUACGGGAGGCUGCAGUGAGGAAUAUUGGUCAAUGGACGCAAGUCUGAACCAGCCAAGUAGCGUGCAGGAUGACGACCCUCCGGGUUGUAAACUGCUUUUAGUUGGGAAUAAAAGGGGGCUCGUGAGCCCCGUAUUGUAUGUACCAUCAGAAAAAGGACCGGCUAAUUCCGUGCCAGCAGCCGCGGUAAUACGGAAGGUCCGGGCGUUAUCCGGAUUUAUUGGGUUUAAAGGGAGCGUAGGCCGGCUUUUAAGUCAGCUGUGAAAGUCCGCGGCUCAACCGUGGAAUUGCAGUUGAAACUGGAGGCCUUGAGUGCACACAGGGAUGCCGGAAUUCAUGGUGUAGCGGUGAAAUGCUUAGAUAUCAUGAAGAACUCCGAUUGCGAAGGCAGCCUACUAAACUGCCACUGACAUUGAUGCUCGAAAGUGUGGGUAUCAAACAGGAUUAGAUACCCUAGUAGUC